RNAcentral lists this ribosomal RNA (497 nucleotides) under uncultured bacterium. Its description in RNAcentral is "partial 16S ribosomal RNA". It matches the Rfam family "Bacterial small subunit ribosomal RNA", at positions 28 to 507 of the family's 1533-position model. The record is from RNAcentral.
GAUGAACGCUGGCGGCGUGCCUAAUACAUGCAAGUCGAGCGAACAGACGAGGAGCUUGCUCCUCUGACGUUAGCGGCGGACGUGUGAGUAACACGUGGAUAACCUACCUAUAAGACUGGGAUAACUUCGGGAAACCGGAGCUAAUACCGGAUAAUAUAUUGAACCGCAUGGUUCAAUAGUGAAAGACGGUUUUGCUGUCACUUAUAGAUGGAUCCGCGCCGCAUUAGCUAGUUGGUAAGGUAACGGCUUACCAAGGCGACGAUGCGUAGCCGACCUGAGAGAGUGAUCGGCCACACGGGAACUGGGACACGGUCCAGACUCCUACGGGAGGGAGCAGUAGGGAAUCUUACGCAAUAGGCGAAAACCUGACGGAGCAACGCCGCGUGAGUGGUGAAGGUCUUCGGAUCGUAAUACUCUGUUAUUAGUGAAGAACAAAUUUGUAAGUAACUAUGCACGUCUUGACGGUACCUAAUCAGAAAGCCACGGCUAACUACGUG